RNAcentral lists this long non-coding RNA (1678 nucleotides) under Equus caballus (horse). Its description in RNAcentral is "lncRNA (ENSECAG00000059371.1)". The record is from RNAcentral. Lineage: Eukaryota; Metazoa; Chordata; Mammalia; Perissodactyla; Equidae.
GUAGAAAUGUUCUUUUAAGAAAUCUCCCCAAAAAGAGGGGCUGGCUCCGUGGCCGAGCGGUCAAGUUCGUGUGCUCCGCUGUAGGCGGCCCAGUGUUUCAUUGGUUCUAAUCCCGGGCACGGACAUGGCACUGCUCAUCAAACCACGCUGAGGCAGCGUCCCACAUGCCACAACUAGAAGGACCCACAACGAAGAAUAUACAACUAUGUACCAGGGGGCUUUGGGGAGAAAAAGGAAAAAAUAAAAUCUUUAAAAAAAGAAAUCCCCCCAAAAAGAAAUGUCAUAUAUAUUGAUGAUCAGGGAAUUUUUUAAGAUGAACAAAAGGUGGAGGAAGGGGAGAGAAAAUAAUCAAGAAUUCAAGGACUUUAACCUAGAUUCCUCGGCCCUUCUAGGAGGCCUGCAGCUGUGUUCCAGAUCACAAGGAAGUGUAAGCAGGAUGAUACUUUCUUCCCCAAAAGCUGUCCAUGCUUCAUUCCCGGAAACCUGUGAAUGUUACAUCCCAUUGCACAAGGGACUUUUGCAGAUGUGAUUAAGGGAUAUCUGGAAUUGAGGAAGUGUUAAUCAAACGUGCAGAGGUUUCUCAAUGUAGAGGUUCUCUGAGCACCCUGUACAGACGUAAAAUGAGGGGGAAAAAAGCCUAGAGAACUUUGAAAUACGGUGAGAAAAAAAGAAAAUGAGAUUCAACUUGAAAUAAUGUGAGGGAGUGUGUCCAUAGAAAAAUAAUGAAAAACAGAUAUUUGAUGGAAGGAAGACAAUUGGAAGGUAGUCAAAAUAAACAGGACAGAGGGGAGAGGAGACUAGACAAUAAAUUAGAUGAGAUUGAAAUUCUGUGCCAAUUCAGGAAAAAAACUAAAAAUCAUCUUGAUGGCCAUGUAAUGUUACCAAACAAGAAAGUACACCUGAACUAGAAUUCGCUUGGAGACAGUGUUCUUUUUCUCUUUUUCUAUGUUGAAGAACUCAGAGGAACUGGAAGUAAUUCAAAAAAGAACAGCAAAUACAAUUAAGAGCCUAAAUGGAUUGAUUUAUAUAGUGAGAGGGAAGAAAUAAAAUAUGCAAUCCUUGGCUAAAGACAUCUAGAGAGAACAUAAUUGUCAAGUCUUUAAAGGAUUUCUGUGCUAAGUCAAUAGAGGCUGACUUUAGUUCAAUAAAAGGGAAUCUAGGCCGAAGCACAAUGAGUUGAACGUAAACUCAUGCCGAAAACAUUUUCCCAAUUUUGUUAAUACCAAAAUCUAAAGUGUUUCAAAUGGUGCUGACUCAAAGGUCUGCUCUUGUUUUUGUUGAUGUUUUUAACCCAUUUUGAGACUUAUGCUAAGUGACCUUGGAACACAAUUGUUGGAAAAUUCUUUAAACCCUGGUUGUUCUCUUUCUAACAGAUUAUCAUUGCCCUUUUUGAGGCCUUACCUUCACAGCAUAUAAAUAACUGCUGAUUUUAUAAUCCUGGCUUUAUAACAAGGCUUGCUAUCUGGUAGGGCAAGCCCUCCUACACUGUCCUUCUUUAAAAAGACUUGGCUGUUGAUUUUGUCUCUUUAUACACACUCUGUGUACUUACCGAUUUCAAUAGAUUAAACUAUUGUACUAGCCUCCCAGGGCUGCCAAAGCGGAACAUCAUAGACUGGGUGGGGUACACAGACAUUUAUUUCUUUAUUAAACAACAGACAUUUAUUUUUUCACAGUUGUG